CGAAUGAGAACAAGAAUUGCAGGA
RNAcentral lists this non-coding RNA (24 nucleotides) under Cricetulus griseus (Chinese hamster). The record is from RNAcentral. Lineage: Eukaryota; Metazoa; Chordata; Mammalia; Rodentia; Cricetidae.